This 446-nucleotide ribosomal RNA is filed under the name uncultured bacterium. Its description in RNAcentral is "partial 16S ribosomal RNA". It matches the Rfam family "Bacterial small subunit ribosomal RNA", at positions 331 to 793 of the family's 1533-position model. The record is from RNAcentral.
CCAGACUCCUACGGGAGGCAGCAGUGGGGGAUAUUGCACAAUGGGGGGAACCCUGAUGCAGCGACGCCGCGUGGGUGAAGGAGUAUUUCGGUAUGUAAAGCCCUAUCGGCAGGGAAGAAGCAAGACGGUACCUGACUAAGAAGCCCCGGCUAACUACGUGCCAGCAGCCGCGGUAAUACGUAGGGGGCGAGCGUUAUCCGGAUUCACUGGGUGUAAAGGGAGCGCAGGCGGCGCGCCAAGUCUGAUGUGAAACCCCGGGGCUCAACCCCGGGCAUGCAUUGGAAACUGGCGGGCUGGAGUGCCGGAGAGGUAAGCGGAAUUCCUAGUGUAGCGGUGAAAUGCGUAGAUAUUAGGAGGAACACCAGUGGCGAAGGCGGCUUACUGGACGGCAACUGACGCUGAGGCUCGAAAGCGUGGGGAGCAAACAGGAUUAGAUACCCCGGUAC